This 271-nucleotide unclassified non-coding RNA is filed under the name fungal sp. Its description in RNAcentral is "partial contains small subunit ribosomal RNA, internal transcribed spacer 1, and 5.8S ribosomal RNA". The stretch from base 1 to 46 matches the Rfam family "Eukaryotic small subunit ribosomal RNA", at positions 1786 to 1831 of the family's 1831-position model. RNAcentral also lists the same sequence under 2 other names. Lineage: Eukaryota; Fungi. The record is from RNAcentral.
AAGUCGUAACAAGGUUUCCGUAGGUGAACCUGCGGAAGGAUCAUUAUCGAGUUCGGGGACUUAUUGUCCACGCCCUCCAACCCUUUGUCUACCUGACCAGAUGUUGCUUCGGCAGGCCCGUCGCCCCGCGAGGGGUGGCCGCCGGGGGUCCUUACCGGCCCCGGGUCCGCGCCUGUCGAUGGCCCUCUUAUAAACUCUUGCUUCAACCGUGUCGUCUGAGUAAAACAAACAAAUAAAAACAAAACUUUCAACAACGGAUCUCUUGGUUCUG